GGAUGAACGCUGGCGGCGUGCCUAAUACAUGCAAGUCGAACGAGUUCUGAUUAUUGAAAGGUGCUUGCAUCUUGAUUUAAUUUUGAACGAGUGGCGGACGGGUGAGUAACACGUGGGUAACCUGCCCUUAAGUGGGGGAUAACAUUUGGAAACAGAUGCUAAUACCGCAUAAAUCCAAAAACCGCAUGGUUCUUGGCUGAAAGAUGGCGUAAGCUAUCGCUUUUGGAUGGACCCGCGGCGUAUUAGCUAGUUGGUGAGGUAACGGCUCACCAAGGCAAUGAUACGUAGCCGAACUGAGAGGUUGAUCGGCCACAUUGGGACUGAGACACGGCCCAAACUCCUACGGGAGGCAGCAGUAGGGAAUCUUCCACAAUGGACGCAAGUCUGAUGGAGCAACGCCGCGUGAGUGAAGAAGGCUUUCGGGUCGUAAAACUCUGUUGUUGGAGAAGAAUGGUCGGCAGAGUAACUGUUGUCGGCGUGACGGUAUCCAACCAGAAAGCCACGGCUAACUACGUGCCAGCAGCCGCGGUAAUACGUAGGUGGCAAGCGUUAUCCGGAUUUAUUGGGCGUAAAGCGAGCGCAGGCGGUUUUUUAAGUCCGAUGUGAAAGCCCUCGGCUUAACCGAGGAAGUGCAUCGGAAACUGGGAAACUUGAGUGCAGAAGAGGACAGUGGAACUCCAUGUGUAGCGGUGAAAUGCGUAGAUAUAUGGAAGAACACCAGUGGCGAAGGCGGCUGUCUGGUCUGUAACUGACGCUGAGGCUCGAAAGCAUGGGUAGCGAACAGGAUUAGAUACCCUGGUAGUCCAUGCCGUAAACGAUGAAUGCUAGGUGUUGGAGGGUUUCCGCCCUUCAGUGCCGCAGCUAACGCAUUAAGCAUUCCGCCUGGGGAGUACGACCGCAAGGUUGAAACUCAAAGGAAUUGACGGGGGCCCGCACAAGCGGUGGAGCAUGUGGUUUAAUUCGAAGCAACGCGAAGAACCUUACCAGGUCUUGACAUCUUUUGAUCACCUGAGAGAUCAGGUUUCCCCUUCGGGGGCAAAAUGACAGGUGGUGCAUGGUUGUCGUCAGCUCGUGUCGUGAGAUGUUGGGUUAAGUCCCGCAACGAGCGCAACCCUUAUGACUAGUUGCCAGCAUUUAGUUGGGCACUCUAGUAAGACUGCCGGUGACAAACCGGAGGAAGGUGGGGAUGACGUCAAAUCAUCAUGCCCCUUAUGACCUGGGCUACACACGUGCUACAAUGGAUGGUACAACGAGUUGCGAGACCGCGAGGUCAAGCUAAUCUCUUAAAGCCAUUCUCAGUUCGGACUGUAGGCUGCAACUCGCCUACACGAAGUCGGAAUCGCUAGUAAUCGCGGAUCAGCACGCCGCGGUGAAUACGUUCCCGGGCCUUGUACACACCGCCCGUCACACCAUGAGAGUUUGUAACACCCGAAGCCGGUGGCGUAACCCUUUUAGGGAGCGAGCCGUCUAAGGUGGGACAAAUGA
This 1485-nucleotide ribosomal RNA is filed under the name uncultured organism. Its description in RNAcentral is "16S ribosomal RNA". It matches the Rfam family "Bacterial small subunit ribosomal RNA". The record is from RNAcentral.